RNAcentral lists this ribosomal RNA (486 nucleotides) under uncultured Methanosaeta sp. RNAcentral's name for it is "bacterial SSU rRNA". It matches the Rfam family "Archaeal small subunit ribosomal RNA", at positions 852 to 1338 of the family's 1478-position model. The record is from RNAcentral. Lineage: Archaea; Methanobacteriati; Methanobacteriota; Methanomicrobia; Methanotrichales; Methanotrichaceae.
AAACUCAAAGGAAUUGACGGGGAGCACCACAACGGGUGGAGCUUGCGGUUUAAUUGGAUUCAACGCCGGAAAUCUUACCGGGACCGACAGCAAUAUGAAGGCCAGGCUGAAGACUUUGCCGGAUUAGCUGAGAGGUGGUGCAUGGCCGUCGUCAGUUCGUACUGUGAAGCAUCCUGUUAAGUCAGGCAACGAGCGAGACCCACGCCCACAGUUGCCAGCGUACUCUCUGGAGUGACGGGUACACUGUGGGGACCGCCGCUGCUAAAGCGGAGGAAGGAAUGGGCAACGGUAGGUCAGUAUGCCCCGAAUAUCCCGGGCUACACGCGAGCUACAAUGGUUGGUACAAUGGGUAUCUACCCCGAAAGGGGACGGGAAUCUCCUAAAGCCAAUCUUAGUUCGGAUUGAGGGCUGCAACUCGCCCUCAUGAAGCUGGAAUCCGUAGUAAUCGCGUUUCAACAGAACGCGGUGAAUACGUCCCUGCUCCUU